UACGGGGGGAGCAAGCGUUGUUCGGAAUUACUGGGCGUAAAGGGCUCGUAGGCGGCCAACUAAGUCGGACGUGAAAUCCCUCAGCUUAACUGGGGAACUGCGUCCGAUACUGGAUGGCUUGGAUUUGGGAGAGGGAUGCGGAAUUCCAGGUGUAGCGGUGAAAUGCGUAGAUAUCUGGAGGAAUACCGGUGGCGAAGGCGGCAUCCUGGACCGGCAUUGACGCUGAGGAGCGAAAGCUAGGGGAGCAAACGGG
This 253-nucleotide ribosomal RNA is filed under the name uncultured bacterium. RNAcentral's name for it is "partial 16S ribosomal RNA". It matches the Rfam family "Bacterial small subunit ribosomal RNA", at positions 524 to 776 of the family's 1533-position model. The record is from RNAcentral.